GGCGGCCCAGGCGGGCGAGGCGGCGCCGGUGCCGGCCGGCGACCGGAAGGCCUGGGCGUUCCUGCCGCUGGCCGCCGCC
This 79-nucleotide transfer RNA is filed under the name Virgisporangium aurantiacum. RNAcentral describes it as "tRNA-Ala". Lineage: Bacteria; Bacillati; Actinomycetota; Actinomycetes; Micromonosporales; Micromonosporaceae. The record is from RNAcentral.